AAAGCCCAUGCCAAAGCCUGGGCUUUUACAAUUUCUAAAAUUAAAAUAAAAAUUUGAAAAUAAAGGAAAAAAGCCAAAAAUUAGUGUUUCAUAAAUCAAAAGUCACGAUUUUAUUCAACUGCCAAUCCUUAAGAUAAACACAAGCAAGAAUCAAAAGCCAAUAGCCGUCAACCGACACCCACCAAACUUGAAUCUUAGCCAUCACCGAUAAAUCCAACCAUUGCUGCAUGCCAAUUGAACCCAGCAGCUAUCACCACCAGCGAGCGACGUAGCAACCACGAGAUCGCAGCACACCACGCUGCAACAGCAGCAAACCCAGCACGUGAGCAUGAGCAGCAACAGCGGCUAGAGAGCUUCUUCGAACCGAGCACGCGAGUGUGAGCAGCAACAGUGCCCAGCUAGCCUCUUCGAACCCAUGUGAUCUUGGAGGUGCAAAAAAGUGCUAGAUCAGAGGCCAAAAAGAAAGAGAUUCGCAAACAAGAGCUGGAGACGUGUGUGUAUGAGAUUCUCCGUUGAGCUCUUUUUAUUUUGUGUGAAAAAAAAAUUUCAAAUAUGUAAAUAAUGACAAAAUUUGUGUUACCAUCUGCCUUUAGUUAAGAACUUAAAUUAUUAUGGAAUUGUUAUGAAAUUAUUCUACACUAUCAGCAAGCGAUGGAUGAAUGCGUAAAUCUAAAAAUUGUUUAUGUGUUAUAGAAUACUAGAUUUUCAUUCAACUAAAUUGUUAUGAAAUUAUAAGUUAUUGAAAGCCUAAACCCGGC
Molecule: long non-coding RNA, 758 nt
Filed under: Citrus maxima (pomelo)
Lineage: Eukaryota; Viridiplantae; Streptophyta; Magnoliopsida; Sapindales; Rutaceae
Description: long non-coding RNA (CMAX_LNC001749)
Source: RNAcentral